AGAACGAACGCUGGCGGCGUGGAUAAGACAUGCUAAGUCGAACGGGACAUUUCCGGUAGCAAUAUUGGAGAUGUUCAGUGGCGAAAGGGUGCGUAACACGUGGGCAACCUGCCGGGAAGUGGGGGAUAGCUCGCCCGAAAGGCGAAUUAAUACCGCAUAUGGCCAGGAAAGACAUCUUUCCAACGCCAAAGCUGGGGCAACCUAGCGCUU
This 210-nucleotide ribosomal RNA is filed under the name uncultured bacterium. RNAcentral's name for it is "partial small subunit ribosomal RNA". It matches the Rfam family "Bacterial small subunit ribosomal RNA", at positions 26 to 220 of the family's 1533-position model. The record is from RNAcentral.